AAAAAAGCAUCAUCUCAAAAAAGUUCCGAGUAUCUAAUGGAGAGUGAUGACAUUUCAAAAAGUAUACAAAAAAGAACAGAGAAUCCAUGUUGGGAUAUCUAAACUCUCCAAAAUGAAAGCUCCUCAGGAAGCCAUUUCUAAAGAAUUGGAGGAAUAUAAGCAACUCCUUCUAGAGGGAUUUGAAGAUUUGAGAAGAAAACAAGAUGAGAUCAUUCAGGUUGCAAAAGCUUUUUCAAAGCAAGUGAAUGAAGCUAAUGAAGUGUUAGCAGAGUUCAGAACUAAAAAUUUUCUCCUGGAGAAACAACAGACUGGAACAUUAACCAAGUCUGUUUCUACGCAAACUGUUUCUACGCAAACUUCGGUAGUGUCACAUAGCGUUGGAAAUCGUGCUAAUAGUUUCUGGCUCAGCAGAGAUCUUACUCCACAACAAAACUUGGAGACUCCUACUUCAGCAACUCAGGCUUCACAUCACAACACUGCAGAGUCUUUGGACACGUUUGCCCUUCAGGAUCUUGACACCUCAACUUUAUGGGAAAGAUGUUUUCAGAUCAUUGAAAAAUGUAGGAGUCAACAAUAUUUGCCUUCAUGCCAGAAUAAAGAAGUUUGGUGUCUUCUGCUUUUGAAAUGCUUUGGCUCAGCUUCCACAACAGACCUGAGUGUGAAGGAUCGAAUUGCAGCCAAGCCAGGUACAUUGAUACAACAUGGCUGCCCUGGACAUGACCUAUUGCAUUCAAGUUGCUUGAACACAUCAGAAGUCCCAUUGUUAAGGUUGACUGAUUGAAAUUUAUAUGUUACCAUGAAUAAAAAUUGUUUUUAUGUUGAACA
Molecule: long non-coding RNA, 825 nt
Filed under: Oryctolagus cuniculus (rabbit)
Lineage: Eukaryota; Metazoa; Chordata; Mammalia; Lagomorpha; Leporidae
Description: lncRNA (ENSOCUG00000033292.1)
Source: RNAcentral